GAUGAACGCUGGCGGCGUGCCUAAUACAUGCAAGUCGAGCGAACAGACGAGGAGCUUGCUCCUCUGACGUUAGCGGCGGACGGGUGAGUAACACGUGGAUAACCUACCUAUAAGACUGGGAUAACUUCGGGAAACCGGCGCUAAUACCGGAUAAUAUAUUGAACCGCAUGGUUCAAUAGUGAAAGACGGUUUUGCUGUCACUUAUAGAUGGAUCCGCGCCGCAUUAGCUAGUUGGUAAGGUAACGGCUUACCACGGCAACGAUGCGUAGCCGACCUGAGAGGGUGAUCGGCCACACGAGAACUGAGACACGGUCCAGAGUCCUACGGGAGGCAGCAGUAGGGAAUCGUCCGCAAUGGGCGAAAGCCUGACGGAGCAACGCCGAGUGAGUGAUGAAGGUCUUCGGAUCGUAAAACUCUGUUAUUAGGGAAGAACAAAUGUGUAAGUAACUAUGCACGUCUUGACGGUACCGAAUCAGAAAGCCACGGCUAACUACGUG
RNAcentral lists this ribosomal RNA (497 nucleotides) under uncultured bacterium. Its description in RNAcentral is "partial 16S ribosomal RNA". It matches the Rfam family "Bacterial small subunit ribosomal RNA", at positions 28 to 507 of the family's 1533-position model. The record is from RNAcentral.